GACGAACGCUGGCGGCGUGCUUAACACAUGCAAGUCGAACGGUGAAGCGCCUUCCUUUUUGGUGGGUGUGGAUGAGUGGCGAACGGGUGAGUAACACGUGAGUAACCUGCCCCCUUCUUCUGGAUAACCGCAUGAAAGUUUGGCUAAUACGGGAUAUUCUGGGUCUGUCGCAUGAUGGGUCUGGGAAAGAUAUUGUUUCGGUGGGGGAUGGGCUCGCGGCCUAUCAGCUUGUUGGUGGGGUGAUGGCCUACCAAGGCGGUGACGGGUAGCCGGCCUGAGAGGGUGGACGGUCACACUGGGACUGAGACCCGGACCAGACUCCUACGGGAGGCAGCAGUGGGGAAUAUUGGACAAUGGGAGGAAGGAUGAUGCAGCGCCGCCGCGGGAGGGAUGGAGGCCUUCGGGUUGUGAACCUCUUUCGCCAGUGAAGCAGGCCUGCCUCGUAUGUGGGUGGGUUGACGGUAGCUGGAUAAGAAGCGCCGGCUAACUACGUG
This 494-nucleotide ribosomal RNA is filed under the name uncultured bacterium. RNAcentral's name for it is "partial 16S ribosomal RNA". It matches the Rfam family "Bacterial small subunit ribosomal RNA", at positions 28 to 507 of the family's 1533-position model. The record is from RNAcentral.